RNAcentral lists this ribosomal RNA (113 nucleotides) under Escherichia coli. RNAcentral describes it as "partial 23S ribosomal RNA". It matches the Rfam family "Bacterial large subunit ribosomal RNA", at positions 1 to 103 of the family's 2925-position model. Lineage: Bacteria; Pseudomonadati; Pseudomonadota; Gammaproteobacteria; Enterobacterales; Enterobacteriaceae. RNAcentral also lists the same sequence under 2 other names. The record is from RNAcentral.
GGGUUGUGAGGUUAAGCGACUAAGCGUACACGGUGGAUGCCCUGGCAGUCAGAGGCGAUGAAGGACGUGCUAAUCUGCGAUAAGCGUCGGUAAGGUGAUAUGAACCGUUAUAA